This 475-nucleotide ribosomal RNA is filed under the name uncultured bacterium. Its description in RNAcentral is "partial 16S ribosomal RNA". The stretch from base 20 to 299 matches the Rfam family "Bacterial small subunit ribosomal RNA", at positions 47 to 358 of the family's 1533-position model. The record is from RNAcentral.
AACGAACGCUGGCGGCAUGCCUAACACAUGCAAGUCGAACGAGACCUUCGGGUCUAGUGGCGCACGGGUGCGUAACGCGUGGGAACCUGCCCUUAGGUUCGGAAUAACUCCCCGAAAGGGGUGCUAAUACCGGAUAAUGUCUUCGGACCAAAGAUUUAUCGCCUUUGGAUGGGCCCGCGUUGGAUUAGCUAGUUGGUAGGGUAAAAGCCUACCAAGGCGACGCUCCAUAGCUGGUCGGAGAGGAUGAUCAGCCGCACUGGGACGGAGAAACGGCCCAGACGAGAGGGGGGUGCACAGGGGUGGACUAUGGACAAGGGGGGAAAGGGCUGACAAAGAGGGGAGGGGUGGGUGGGGAAGGCUUGUGGGUUGAAAACGUCUUGGACCAGGGAUGAAGAUGACGGUGGGGGGAGAAUAAGCUCCGGCUAACCCCGUGACAGCAGCGUAGGUAAGAGAACGGAAAAGCACUCGCUAAAAC